UGUAGGUAGCUCAGUGGUAGAGCACAUGCUUUAGCAUGUGUGAGGCCCUGGGUUCCACUCCCAGCACUGAAA
RNAcentral lists this transfer RNA (72 nucleotides) under Marmota monax (woodchuck). RNAcentral describes it as "tRNA.Undet". The stretch from base 6 to 65 matches the Rfam family "tRNA", at positions 7 to 64 of the family's 71-position model. Rfam says of the family: Transfer RNA (tRNA) molecules are approximately 80 nucleotides in length. Lineage: Eukaryota; Metazoa; Chordata; Mammalia; Rodentia; Sciuridae. The record is from RNAcentral.